GAUGAACGCUGGCGGCGUGCCUAAUACAUGCAAGUCGAGCGAACGGACGAGAAUCUUGCUUCUCUGAUGUUAGCGGCGGACGGGUGAGUAACACGUGGAUAACCUACCUAUAAGACUGGGAUAACUUCGGGAACCCUGAUCUAAUACCGGAUAAUAUUUUGAACCGCAUGGUUCAACAGUGAAAGACGUUCUUGCUGUCACUAAUAGAUGGAUCCUCGCUGCAUUAGCUAGUUGGUAAGGUAACGGCUUACCAAGGCGACGAUGCAUAGCCGACCUGAGAGGGUGAUCGGCCACACUGGAACUGAGACACGGUCCAGACUCCUACGGGAGGCAGCAGUAGGGAAUCUUGGGCAAUGGGCGAAAGCCUGACGGAGCCACGCCGCGUGAGUGAAGAAGGUCUUCGGAUCGUAAAGCACUGUUAGUAGGGAAGAACAGAUGUGUAAGUAACUGUGCACAUCUUGACGGUACCUAAUCAGAAAGCCACGGCUAACUACGUG
RNAcentral lists this ribosomal RNA (497 nucleotides) under uncultured bacterium. RNAcentral describes it as "partial 16S ribosomal RNA". It matches the Rfam family "Bacterial small subunit ribosomal RNA", at positions 28 to 507 of the family's 1533-position model. The record is from RNAcentral.